Molecule: transfer RNA, 55 nt
Filed under: Ictidomys tridecemlineatus (thirteen-lined ground squirrel)
Lineage: Eukaryota; Metazoa; Chordata; Mammalia; Rodentia; Sciuridae
Description: Spermophilus tridecemlineatus (thirteen-lined ground squirrel) tRNA
Rfam family: tRNA
About the family: Transfer RNA (tRNA) molecules are approximately 80 nucleotides in length. Their secondary structure includes four short double-helical elements and three loops (D, anti-codon, and T loops).
Source: Rfam by way of RNAcentral
UAGCUUAGUGGUAGAGUGCUUGUCUGGUAUACAAGGUUCUGGGUUCAAUCCCUAG